RNAcentral lists this unclassified non-coding RNA (267 nucleotides) under plant metagenome. RNAcentral's name for it is "partial contains small subunit ribosomal RNA, internal transcribed spacer 1, and 5.8S ribosomal RNA". The record is from RNAcentral.
UAACCGUAGGUGAACCUGCGGUUGGAUCAUUAUAAAAUAAUGAUGACAUACCCAUUUAAUACCACUGCGAUUUUGUAUUGGGUGAAUGGGGAGUCUCUUAAACCUCCGUGCACUGUAAUAGUAUCCGGCCUAGGCAGAGCAGUCUUCACCGAUAGCGAAGCUUAGGCCCAAAAACGGUUUUGACCGUAUAAACAACUUUUUAAUUUUUACUAACUUUUGUGUCUAAAAAAUCAAAAACAACUUUCAACAACGGAUCUCUUGGUUCAC